RNAcentral lists this ribosomal RNA (668 nucleotides) under uncultured Chytridiomycota. Its description in RNAcentral is "LSU rRNA". It matches the Rfam family "Eukaryotic large subunit ribosomal RNA", at positions 568 to 1236 of the family's 3401-position model. Lineage: Eukaryota; Fungi; Chytridiomycota. The record is from RNAcentral.
AGUAGAGUCUCAGGUGGUAUCUAUCUGGGAGACGAUGUUCAGAAUGCUGCGGUGACUACUGACGAAACGGCUUUAAACGGCCCGUCUUGAAACACGGACCAAGGAGUCUAACAUAUAUGCGAGUAUUUGGGUGGCAAACCCGAAUGCGAAAUGAAAGUGAGUACGAAUGGGAUCCCUUUUUUGGGCGCACCAUUGACCGAUCUUGAUAUCUCUUGAUAGAUUUGAGUUAGAGCAUAUCUGUUGGGACCCGAAAGAUGGUGAACUAUGCCUGGAUAGGAUGAAGCCAGAGGAAACUCUGGUGGAGGUCCGAAGCCGUUCUGACGUGCAAAUCGAUGGUCAAAUCUGGGUAUAGGGGCGAAAGACUAAUCGAACCAUCUAGUAGCUGGUUCCCUCCGAAGUUUCCCUCAGGAUAGCUGGAGCUCGUUAAACAGUUUUAUCAGGUAAAGCGAAUGAUUAGAGGCCUUGGGGAAGUAACUUCCUUAACCUAUUCUCAAACUUUAAAUGGGUAAGACAUCCGUAGUUGCUUAAUUGAACUCGGAUAUAGAAUGUGAGCUCUUAGUGGGCCAUUUUUGGUAAGCAGAACUGGCGAUGCGGGAUGAACCGAUCGUUGAGUUAAGGUGCCUAAAUGCACGCUCAUCAGACACCACAAAAGGUGUUGGUUCAUCUAG